RNAcentral lists this ribosomal RNA (486 nucleotides) under uncultured bacterium. RNAcentral describes it as "partial 16S ribosomal RNA". It matches the Rfam family "Bacterial small subunit ribosomal RNA", at positions 30 to 507 of the family's 1533-position model. The record is from RNAcentral.
AUUGAACGCUGGCGGCAUGCCUUACACAUGCAAGUCGAACGGCAGCACGGGUGCUUGCACCUGGUGGCGAGUGGCGAACGGGUGAGUAAUACAUCGGAACAUGUCCUGUAGUGGGGGAUAGCCCGGCGAAAGCCGGAUUAAUACCGCAUACGAUCUACGGAUGAAAGCGGGGGACCUUCGGGCCUCCCGCUGUAGGGUUGGCCGAUGGCUGAUUAGCUAGUUGGUGGGGUAAAGGCCUACCAAGGCGACGAUCAGUAGCUGGUGUGAGAGGACGACCAGCCACACUGGGACUGAGACACGGCCCAGACUCCUACGGGAGGCAGCAGUGGGGAAUUUUGGACAAUGGGCGAAAGCCUGAUCCAGCAAUGCCGCGUGUGUGAAGAAGGCCUUCGGGUUGUAAAGCACUUUUGUCCGGAAAGAAAUCCUUGGCCCUAAUACGGUCGGGGGAUGACGGUACCGGAAGAAUAAGCACCGGCUAACUACGUG